AGUGAACGCUGGCGGCAGGCCUAACACAUGCAAGUCGAGCGGCAGCGCGUCCGACCACCCUCGGGUGGUCGGAUGGCGGCGAGCGGCGGACGGGUGAGGAAUGCAUCGGAAUCUGCCUCGUUGUGGGGGAUAACGUAGGGAAACUUACGCUAAUACCGCAUACGACCUACGGGUGAAAGUGGGGGACCUUCGGGCCUCACGCGAUGAGAUGAGCCGAUGCCGGAUUAGCUAGUUGGCGGGGUAAAGGCCACCAAGGCGACGAUCCGUAGCUGGUCUGAGAGGAUGAUCAGCCACACUGGAACUGAGACACGGUCCAGACUCCUACGGGAGGCAGCAGUGGGGAAUAUUGGACGAUGGGGGCAACCCUGAUCCAGCCAUGCCGCGUGUGUGAAGAAGGCC
Molecule: ribosomal RNA, 399 nt
Filed under: uncultured bacterium
Lineage: Bacteria
Description: bacterial SSU rRNA
Rfam family: Bacterial small subunit ribosomal RNA
Source: RNAcentral